AACGCAUAUUGCGCUCGAGGCUUCGGCCAAGAGCAUGUCUGCCUCAGCGUCGGGUUUAUCUCCAUUCCUCAUACCCAUUGCCCAAACACCAAUGGAAUGUGCAGGGAUCGGAACUGGUUGUUCCAAGCCAUUGAGUUGACUUGGAUCGACUGAAGAGCAGAGUGAAGAUCGAAUAUCCCUUCUCUGGGUCCCUCAGAGAGGGUCGCAACUGGGCAGUGAGCGAGAAGCUGCAAAGCUUUCCCUCUUCUUUGCUAGUUGUUGGCCUCACGGGAUCUCGAUGUUAUGCUUCACUGAAACCAGGAGAUAGAGGAGCGCCCUUUUGGGUGUGACUUUCAUCAACCCACACAUCCUCGACCUGAGCUCAGGCAAGAACACCCGCUGAACUUAA
RNAcentral lists this unclassified non-coding RNA (388 nucleotides) under uncultured fungus. RNAcentral describes it as "partial contains 5.8S ribosomal RNA, internal transcribed spacer 2, and large subunit ribosomal RNA". The record is from RNAcentral. Lineage: Eukaryota; Fungi.